Molecule: long non-coding RNA, 498 nt
Filed under: Coturnix japonica (Japanese quail)
Lineage: Eukaryota; Metazoa; Chordata; Aves; Galliformes; Phasianidae
Description: lncRNA (ENSCJPG00005005880.1)
Source: RNAcentral
GGCGGGGGGACCCCAAAUGACCCAAUAUUGGGGUUUUUCACCCCAAAAUGGGGCUAAAAUGGGGUUUUUCACCCCAAAAAUGGGCCCUAAAAAGGGGUUUUAACCCCAAAAAUGGGGCUGAUAAGGGGUUCUAAGGGGGGGGGGUCAGAAAUGAGCCAAUAUUGGGGUUUUUCACCCCAAAAAUGGGCCCUAAAAGUGAAGGAGCCGCCCCAAAAAUGGCCAUAUAUGGGUAUUUGGGGUCAAAAUGUCCCAAAUUUGGGUGUUUUCAACCCAAAAUGUGGUUGGAAAUGGGAUUGUAGGGGAUUUGUAGGGGGGUUUUGUAUGGGAUUCAAUGGGAUUCAAUGGGAUCCAAUGGGAUUCAAUGGGAUUUAUAUGGGAUUUAUAUGGGAUUCAAUGGGAUUUAUAUGGGAUUCAAUGGGAUUCAAUGGGGCUGAGUGGGAUUUAUAUGGGAUUUUAAUGGGAUUCAAUGGGAUUCAAUGGGAUUCGAUGGGAUUUUAA